AGUGAACGCUGGCGGUAGGCCUAACACAUGCAAGUCGAACGGCAGCACAGGAGAGCUUGCUCUCUGGGUGGCGAGUGGCGGACGGGUGAGGAAUACAUCGGAAUCUACUUUUUCGUGGGGGAUAACGUAGGGAAACUUACGCUAAUACCGCAUACGACCUACGGGUGAAAGCAGGGGAUCUUCGGACCUUGCGCGAUUGAAUGAGCCGAUGUCGGAUUAGCUAGUUGGCGGGGUAAAGGCCCACCAAGGCGACGAACCGUAGCUGGUGUGAGAGGAUGAUCAGACAGACGGGAAGUGAGACACUGACCAGACUCCGACGGGAGGCAGCAGUGGGGAAUAUUGGACAAUGGGCGCAAGCGUGAUCCAGCCAUACCGCGUGGGUGAAGAAGGCCUUCGGGUUGUAAAGCCCUUUUGUUGGGAAAGAAAUCCAGCUGGUUAAUACCCGAUUGGGAUGACGGUACCCAAAGAAUAAGCACCGGCUAACUUCGUGCCAGCCGCCGCAGUAA
Molecule: ribosomal RNA, 506 nt
Filed under: uncultured bacterium
Lineage: Bacteria
Description: partial 16S ribosomal RNA
Rfam family: Bacterial small subunit ribosomal RNA
Source: RNAcentral